AAAGUCGUAACAAGGUUUCCGUAGGUGAACCUGCGGAAGGAUCAUUAGGAGAUGUUGAGGUUUGAUUUUAUUUACUGGUGGCAUUAAUGCAAUCAGCACAACAUGAUUAACAAUUACAAAUAAAAAGAUUACAUAAGCACCUUGCUGCAAUGGAUCUCUCGGCUCUU
Molecule: unclassified non-coding RNA, 167 nt
Filed under: Basidiomycota sp.
Lineage: Eukaryota; Fungi; Basidiomycota
Description: partial contains small subunit ribosomal RNA, internal transcribed spacer 1, and 5.8S ribosomal RNA
Rfam family: Eukaryotic small subunit ribosomal RNA (bases 1-47)
Source: RNAcentral